ACCCGCUGAACUUAAGCAUAUCAAUAAGCGGAGGAAAAGAAACCAACAGGGAUUGCCUUAGUAACGGCGAGUGAAGCGGCAACAGCUCAAAUUUGAAAUCUGGCCUCUUUGGGGUCCGAGUUGUAAUUUGCAGAGGGCGCUUUGGCGUUGGCAGCGGUCCAAGUUCCUUGGAACAGGACGUCACAGAGGGUGAGAAUCCCGUACGUGGUCGCUAGCCUUCGCCGUGUAAAGCCCCUUCGACGAGUCGAGUUGUUUGGGAAUGCAGCUCUAAAUGGGAGGUAAAUUUCUUCUAAAGCUAAAUACCGGCCAGAGACCGAUAGCGCACAAGUAGAGUGAUCGAAAGAUGAAAAGCACUUUGGAAAGAGAGUCAAACAGCACGUGAAAUUGUUGAAAGGGAAGCGCUUGCAGCCAGACUUGCCUGUAGUUGCUCAUCCGGGCUUUUGCCCGGUGCACUCUUCUGCGGGCAGGCCAGCAUCAGUUUGGGCGGUUGGAUAAAGGUCUCUGUCAUGUACCUCUCUUCGGGGAGGCCUUAUAGGGGAGACGACAUGCAACCAGCCCAGACUGAGGUCCGCGCAUCUGCUAGGAUGCUGGCGUAAUGGCUGU
RNAcentral lists this ribosomal RNA (603 nucleotides) under uncultured fungus. RNAcentral's name for it is "eukaryotic LSU rRNA". It matches the Rfam family "Eukaryotic large subunit ribosomal RNA", at positions 23 to 641 of the family's 3401-position model. Lineage: Eukaryota; Fungi. The record is from RNAcentral.